Molecule: long non-coding RNA, 21848 nt
Filed under: Triticum aestivum (bread wheat)
Lineage: Eukaryota; Viridiplantae; Streptophyta; Magnoliopsida; Poales; Poaceae
Description: long non-coding RNA (TAES_LNC010568)
Source: RNAcentral
AACUAAAAUGUCCAGGUUGUGCCAGAUAUUGCAUAGGUAUUUAUGGUGGAGAAACCAAACUUUGAUAAAAUGUUAAAAGGCUCUGAAAUAAUUAAAACAUUAGUUAAAAUAAUUAAAUAAAUGCCUUUUGCAAUUAAUAAAAUAUUAAACUAAAUUAUUUAUUUGCCCAAACUUAUGUGCCAGUAGCAUAAUUAUUAACACUAAAUUAGGGACUACAUUUAUAAUUAGGGACUCCUUUUUUCACCAUACUUUCACUUUCCAUGGCUAGCCGUAUCCACGGGUGCCUUCCAUACAACCACUUCCCAAGGAAUUUAUUAUUUGACAACACAACAUAAAUUAAUUUUUCAUUUCGCGGCUGGGCAUCCAUAAUACCUUUGGCGUACUCUUGUGCGAUGACAAGUGAAAAACACUCAUCAUGAGAAUAACAUAUCUAGCAUGGAAAUAUAUCAGCCACCCCUACCGUUUCAUGAGCAGUACGAGCACACAAAAGAGAAGUUUAUUUUGAAAAUUAGAGAUUGAUACGUCUCCAACGUACCUAUAAUUUUUGAUUGCUCCAUGCUAUAUUAUCUACUAUUUUGGGCAAUAUUGAGCUUUAUUUUCCACUUUUAUAUUAUUUUUGGGACUAACCUAUUAACCGGAGGCCCAACCCAGAUUUGUUGUUUUAUGCCUAUUUCAGUGUUUCGAAGAAAAGGAAUAUCAAACGGAGUCGAAACGGAACGAAAUCAACUGGAGAAGUUAUUUUUGGAAUGAAAGCCACCGGAUAGACUUGGACUCCACAUCAGGAGAUACGGGAGGUGCUCACGAGGGUGGGGCGCCCCCCUAGGGCAUGCCCCUUGCCUCGUGGGGCCCCCGUGGCUCCUCCGACGUACAUCCUGCACCCAUAUAUAUCGUCGUACCCUAAAACUUCCAGAACGAAUAAUAGAUCGGGAGUUCCGCCGUUAGAAGCCUCCGUAGCCACCGAAAGCCAAUCUAGACCCGUUCCGGCACCCUGCCGGAGGGGGAAUCCCUCUCCGGUGGCCAUCUUCAUCAUCCCGGUGCUCUCCAUGACGAGGAGGGAGUAGUUCUCCCUCGGGGCUGAGGGUAUGUACCACUAGCUAUGUGUUUGAUCUCUCUUUCUCUCUCUCUCGUGUUCUUGAUUUGGCACGAUCUUGAUGUAUAGCGAGCUUUGCUAUUAUAGUUGGAUCUUAUGUUUCUCCUCCCCCUCUUCUCUCUUGUAAUGAAUUGAGUUUCCCCUUCGAAGUAAUCUUAUCGGAUUGAGUCUUUAAAGAUUUGAGAACACUUGAUAUAUGUCUUGCCGUGCGUAUCUGUGGUGACAAUGGGAUAUCACGUGAUUAACUUGAUGUAUGUUUUUGUGAUCAAAUUGCGGGUUCCGCCCAUGAACCUAUGCAUAGGGGUUGGCACACGUUUUCGUCGUGAUUCUCCGGUAGGAACUUUGGGGCACUCUUUGAGGUCCUUUGUGUUGGUUGAAUAGAUGAAUAUGAGAUUGUGUGAUGCAUAUUGUACAAUCAUACCCAUGGAUACUUGAGGUGACAUUGGAGUAUCUAGGUGACAUUAAGGUUUUGGUUGAUUUGUGUCUUAAGGUGUUAUUCUACUACGAACUCUAGGGCUGUUUGUGACACCUAUAGGAAUAGCCCAAUGGAUCGAUUGGAAAGAAUAACUUUGAGGUGGUUUUGUACUCUACCAUAAUCUCUUCGUUUGUUCCACUAGUAGUGACUUUGGAGUGAUUCUUUGUUGCAUGUUGAUGGAUGGUUAUAUGAUCCAAUUAUGUUAUCAUUGUUGAGAGGACUUACACUAGCGAAAGUAUGAACCCUAGGCCUUGUUUCAACGCAUUGCAAUACCGUUUACGCUCACUUUUAUCAUUAGUUACCUUGCUGUUUUUAUAUUUUCAGAUUACAAAAACCUUUAUCUACUAUCCAUAUACCACUUGUAUCACCAUCUCUUCACCGAACUAGUGCACCUAUACAAUUUACCAUUGUAUUGGGUGUGUUGGGGACACAAGAGACUCUUUGUUAUUUGGUUGCAGGGUUGCUUGAGAGAGACCAUCUUCAUCCUACACCUCCUACGGAUUGAUAAACCUUAGGUCAUCCACUUGAGGAAAAUUUGCUACCGUCCUACAAACCUCUACACUUGGAGGCCCACGUCUACAAGAUGAAGGUUGUGUAGUAGACAUCAAGCUCUUUUCUGGCGCCGUUGCCGGGGAGGUUAGCGCUUGAAGGUAUAUCUUUAGAUAUUGCAAUCGAGUAUUUUAGUUUCUUGUUUUAUCACUAGUUUAGUUUAUAAAAGAGAACUAUAAAAAAAUAUGGAAUUGAGUUUGUCUCAUACGCUUCACCUUUUUAAUAUCUUUCAUGAGUAUGAUGGAAAGGAUAGUUGUGCUCAAGUGCUAGAAGAAGAAACCUAUAAAAUGUUUGGCACUAAAUAUUUGAAUGAUGAGCAUGAUUGCAAUAUUGUUAGUACAAAUUCUUUGAAUAUCCAUGAUGCUAAUGAUGAUUGCACUAGUUAUGAUGAAAAUGCCUCCUAUCAACAUGUCAAUUUUUGUGGAGUAGACUGGGUUUGCAAGUACACACCAAAUAGGGAAGAUAGAUAUUGCAAGAGGCAUAAGUACUUAGAAACUAAAGUGUUGCAAGAAGAGCUAGAUGAAUGUGCUGAAAAUUUAAGAUAUCUUACCCAUACUUGCGAACUUUGCAAUGAACAUGGUCACUUAAAUAUCAAAUGAAAUUGUUUCAUGACCGUAUCGUGUCUAAAAAUUGUGAUGACUUGAUUUCCCUUGCACAUCAUAAUGAACUUAGUUUGCUCUUGGGUUAUGAAGAAAUGAAACGUAUAACUGAGGGUAUUCCAAAAUUUAAUCUCGAUAAACUUCUUGGUUUUGAACUACAGAAGAUUUAUAUGUAUUGUGCGGUGAAUUGCAUUGAAAAUCCUUAUAUUGCCAAUUACAUAAAGAAAAGAAAACAAAUAGGAGAUGAAGAGAAUACUAAUGAAAGGGAAGAGACCUCCCAAUAUCCUCCUAUUAUUUCUUAUGAUGAAUCAUGUAACGAGGAGGAGCCUCCUAUUCAACCAAUCUCAUUAAUAAGGAGCUCCAAAAAGAGGAUUGAACCCACACAUGAUGUGGUGAAGAAGAAGAAAAAAAAAAGGAAGAGAGGUAAAAAGAUGUCUCUCCCAAAUAAUGCUGACCCUAUUACUAUUGUGCCUCAUGAAAAUAUAAUUGUGGAAGAUAAUGAUACUUCUUAUGAUCUUGAAAAUCUUUUUGACACUUGCUUGGAAGAAUAUAAUAAUUGCUAUACUAUCGGUGCUAUCUAUACUAUUAAUGAUGAGAGUGAUUAUGCUUAUGAUAUGAAAAGGCCCAAGCUUGGGGAAGCUAUGUUUGAUGAGGAUGACAUAUUUGAGAAUAUAUUUGCUGCAAUUAAUGUUUGUCCCAAGCUUGGGGAAGCUAUGAUUAAUGAAGAUGAUAUUUUUAGUCUCCCAAGUUUUGAUAUGCAAGUUUAUAAUGAUGAUAGCAUGCCCCCUACUUAUGAUGAUUAUUGUGAUGAUACUUAUGCUAUAAAAAUUAGUGAUUAUAUUUAUAAAACUUGUCAUAGUUAUGAUUACCCCUUCUCUUAACAUUACUCUUUUAAUGUGGAAACAAUUUAUAGUAUUCAAGUUUCCUGUGAUACUCCCACUAUUCCGAAUGAGAAGAAUUUUGCUUAUGUGGAGAGUAGUAAAUUUUCUAUGCUUGUAGAUCAUGAAAAGAAUGCUUUAGGUGCUGGUUAUAUUGUUGAAUUCAUUCAUGAUGCUACUGAAAAUUAUUAUGAGGGAGGAACAUAUGCUUGUAGGAAUUGCAAUAAUAUCAAGUUUCCUCUCUAUGUGCUUAAAAUUUUGAAGUUAUGCUUGUUUUACCUUCCUAUGCAAGUUGAUUCUUGUUCCCACAAGUUGUUUGCUCACAAAAUCCCUAUGAAUAGGAAGUAUUUUAGACUUAAAUGUGCUAGUCAUAUUCUUCAUGAUGCUCUAUUUAUGUUUCAAUUCUUAUCCUUUAUGUGAGCAUCAUUGAAAUCAUCAUGCCUAGCUAGGGGCGUUAAACGAUAGCGCUUGUUGGGAGGCAAACCAAUUUUAUUUUUGUUCCUUGCUUUUUGUUCCUGUUUAGUAAUAAAAAAUUCAUCUAUCCUCUGUUUAGAUGUGGUUUUAUGCUUUUAAUUAGUGUUUGUGACAAGUAGAACCUUUGGGAAGACUUGGGGAAAGUCUUGUUGAUCAUGCUGUCAAAGACAGAAACUUUAGCGCUCACGAGAAUUGCUGCAAUUUUUAUCUGGAGAGUGCUAUUUAGUUAAUUAUUUUUGAAGAUGAUUAAUAGAUAAAUUACUCAGGUCCAGCAAUUUAUUUGAGAAUUUUAUGAGUUCCAGAAGUAUGCGUUUGAUCCAGAUUACUACAGACUGUUCUGUUUUUGACAGAUUCUUUUUUCAUGUGUUGUUUACUUAUUUUGAUGAAUCUAUGGCUAGUAAAAUAGUUUAUAAACCAUAGAGAAGUUGGAAUACAGUAAGUUUAACACCAAUAUAAAUAAAAAAUAAGUUCAUUACAGUACCUAAGUGGUGAUUUAUUUUCUUAUACUAACGGAGCUUACGAGUUUUCUGUUAAGUUUUGUGUUGUGAAGUUUUCAAGUUUUGGGUAAGGAUUCGAUGGACUAUGGAAUAAGGAGUGGCAAGAGCCUAAGCUUGGGGAUUCCCAAGGCACCCCAAGGUAAUAUUCAAGGACAACCAAGAGCCUAAGCUUGGGGAUGCCCCGGAAGGCAUUCCCUCUUUCGUCUUCAUUCAUCGGUAACUUUACUUGGAGCUAUAUUUUUAUUCGCCACAUGAUAUGUGUUUUGCUUGGAGCGUCAACUUAUUUUAUUUGGAAUUGCUUGCUGUUAUUUAGAACAAUGUUUUGCAUCUUUUAUUUCAGUAAAAGUGGCAUUGAUAGCCUUUACUAUGCCUGUUUUAGAAGUCCACAUGUUUCUGUUUGAAAACAGAAAGUUUACCGCUGUUGCAAUAAUUCAAUAGAAAAGUGAGAAUGUGAUAAAAUGUUGAAACAUUUUGAAUAUUAAGCUAUGAUAAAUUUACUACAGUGGGAAUUUUCUUUCAUAAUUUUUGGAGCUAGGGAAGUAUGGAUGUUGCAGCAUUCUUUACAGACUAUCCUGUUUAGGCAGAUUGUUGUUAUGUUUGCUUUGUUUGCAUAUGUUUGCUUCUUUAAUGAUUCUAUUUGAGGAUAGGACUAUUAAAUAUGCAGAGGCAUUUAGUAUGCAAUGUUGAAUAAUAAUUUUAGUUAUUUGCUACAGUAGAGUAUGAUAAGGUUUUUGCAAUGGUUUAUACUAACUUAUCUCACGAGUCCUUGUUGAGUUUUGUGUGGAUGAAGCUUUUGAGAUUUAGGGAGACCGUGAUAUGAGAGGAAUUAAGAAGACACAAAAGCUCGAGAUUGGGGAUGCCCAAGGCACCCCAAGAUAAUAUUUCAAGAAGUCUCAAGCGUCUAAGCUUGGGGAUGCCCCGGUUGGCAUCCCACCUAUCUUCUUCAACAACUAUCGGUUAGUUUCGGUUGAUCCUAAGCUUUUGCUUCUUCACAUGAUGUUUGCCAUUCUUAGAAUGUCAUUUUAUUUUGCUUUGUUUGCUGUUUUAAUAGAAUACCAAGAUAUGAAAUUAUUAAAUGUUAGAGAGUCUUCACAUAGUUGCAUAAUUAUUCGACUACUCAUUGAUCUUCACUUAUAUCUUUCGGAGUAGUUUGUCAUUUGCUCUAGUGCUUCACUUAUAUAUUUUAGAGAAUGGUGGUAGUUUUAUUUUGAAGAAAUAGAUGAACUCUCAUGCUUCACUUAUAUUAUUUUGAGAGUUUUAAAUAGCAUGGUAAUUUGCUUAAAAUCCUAAUAUGCUAGGUAUUCAAGAAUAAUAAAAUUCUCUUAUGAGUGUGUUGAAUACUAUGAGAAGUUUGAUACUUGAUAAUUGUUUUGAGAUAUGGAGAUGGUGAUAUUAGAGUCAUGCUAGUUGAGUAGUUGUGAAUUUGAGAUAUACUUGUGUUGAAGUUUGUGAUUCCCGUAGCAUGCAUGUAUGGUGAACCGUUAUGUGAUGAAGUCGGAGAAUGAUUUAUUUAUUGAUUGCCUUCCUUAUGAGUGGCGGUCGGGAACGAGCGAUGGUCUUUUCCUACCAACCUAUCCCCCUAGGAGCAUGCGCGUAGUACUUUGUUUUGAUAACUUGUAGAUUUUUGCAAUAAGUAUAUGAGUUCUUUAUGACUAAUGUUGAGUCCAUGAAUUAUACGCACUCUCAUCCUUCCACCAUUGCUAGCCUCUCCAAUACCGCGCACCUUUCGUCGGUAUCAUACACCUACCAUAUCCUUCCUCAAAACAGCCACCAUACCUACCUAUUAUGGCAUUUCCAUAGCCAUUCCGAGAUAUAUUGCCAUGCAACUUUCCACCAUUCCGUUCAUCAUGACACAUUCGUCAUUGUCAUAUUGCUUAGCUUGAUCAUGUAGUUGACAUAGUAUUUGUGGCAAAGCCACUGUUCAUGAUUCUUUCAUACUUGUCACUCUUGAUUCAUUGCAUAUCCUGGUACACCACCGGAGGCAUCCAUAUAGAGUCAUACUUUGUUCUAGUAUCGAGCUGUAAUCAUUGAGUUGUAAAUAAAUAGAAGUGUGAUGAUCAUCAUUCAAUAGAGCAUUGUCCCAAAAAAAAGAGAGAAAGGCCAAAAAAAGGGAGGCCAAAAAAUAAAAUAAAGGCCAAAUAAAAAAAGGCCAAAUAAAAAUAAAAAAUAAAAAAAUAAAAGGGACAAUGCUACUAUCCUUUUCCACACUUGUGCUUCAAAGUAGCACCAUGAUCUUCAUAGUAGAGAGUCUCUCAUGUUGUCGCUUUCAUAUACUAGUGGGAAUCUUUCAAUAUAGAACUUGGCUUGUAUAUUCCAAUGAUGGGCUUCCUCAAAAUGUCCUAGGUCUUCAUGAGCAAGCGAGUUGGAUGCACACCCACUAGUUUCUUUUGUUGAGUUUUCAUACACUUAUAGCUCUAGUGCAUCCGUUGCAUGGCAAUCCCUACUCACUCACAUUGAUAUCUAUUAAUGGGCAUCUCCAUAGCCUGUUGAUACGCCUAGUUGAUGUGAGACUAUCUUCUCCUUUUUGUCUUCUCCACAACCACCAUUCUAUUCCACCUAUAGUGCUAUGUCCAUGGCUCACGCUCAUAUAUUGCGUGAAGAUUGAAAAAGUUUGAGAACAUCGAAAGUAUGAAACAAUUGCUUGGCUUGUCAUCGGGGUUGUGCAUGAUUUAAAUAUUUUGUGUGGUGAAGAUGGAGCAUAGUCAGAGUUUAUUAUUUUGUUGGGAUAACUUUCUUUGGCCAUGUUAUUUUGAGAAGACAUGAUUGCUUAGUCAGUAUGCUUGAAGUAUUAUUAUUUUUAUGUCAAUAUGAACUUUUGUCUUGAAUCUUUCGGAUCUGAAUAUUCAUAUCACAAGUAAGAAGAAUUACAUUGAAAUUAUGCCAACUAGCAUUCCACAUCAAAAAUUAUCUUUUUAUCAUUUACCUACUCGAGGACAAGCAGGAAUUAAGCUUGGGGAUGCUUGAUACGUCUCCAACGUAUCUAUAAUUUUUUAUUGCUCCAUGCUAUAUUAUCUACUGUUUUGGGCCAUAUUGGGCUUUAUUUUCCACUUUUAUAUUAUUUUUGGGACUAACCUAUUAACCGAAGGCCCAACCCAGAUUUGUUGUUUUAUGCCUAUUUCAGUGUUUCGAAGAAAAGGAAUAUCAAACGGAGUCGAAACGGAACGAAAUCAACUGGAGAAGUUAUUUUUGGAACGAAAGCCACCAGAUAGACUUGGACUCCACGUCAAGAGAUACAGGAGGUGCUCAGGAGGGUGGGGGUGCCCCCCCUAGGGCACGCCCCCCUGCCUCGUGGGGCCCCCGUGGCUCCUCCGACGUACUUCCUGCACCCAUAUAUAUCGUCGUACCCUAAAACUUCCAGAACGAAUAAUAGAUCGGUAGUUCCGCCGUCAGAAGCCUCCGUAGCCACCGAAGGCCAAUCUAGACCUGUUUCGGCACCCUGCCGGAGGGGGAAUCCCUCUCCGGUGGCCAUCUUCAUCAUCCCAGUGCUCUCCAUGACGAGGAGGGAGUAGUUCUCCCUCGGGGCUGAGGGUAUGUACCAGUAGCUAUGUGUUUGAUCUCUCUCUCUCUCUCUCUCUCUCUCUCGUGUUCUUGAUUUGGCACGAUCUUGAUGUAUCGCGAGCUUUGCUAUUAUAGUUGGAUCUUAUGUUUAUCCUCCCCCUCUUCUCUCUUGUAAUGAAUUGAGUUUCCCCUUCGAAGUAAUCUUAUUGGAUUGAGUCUUUAAAGAUUUGAGAACACUUGAUAUAUGUCUUGCCGUGCGUAUCUGUGGUGACAAUGGGAUAUCACGUGAUUAACUUGAUGUAUGUUUUUGUGAUCAACUUGCGGGUUCCGCCCAUGAACCUAUGCAUAGGCGUUGGCACACGUUUUCGUCGUGAUUCUCCGGUAGGAACUUUGGGGCAUCUUUGAGGUCCUUUGUGUUGGUUGAAUAGAUGAAUAUGAGAUUAUGUGAUGCAUAUCGUAUAAUCAUACCCAUGGAUACUUGAGGUGACAUUGGAGUAUCUAGGUGACAUUAGGGUUUUGGUUGAUUUGUGUCUUAAGGUGUUAUUCUAGUAUGAACUCUAGGGCUGUUUGUGACACCUAUAGGAAUAGCCCAACAGAUUGAUUGGAAAGAAUAACUUUGAGGUGGUUUCGUACCCUACCAUAAUCUCGUCGUUUGUUCUCCGCUAUUAGUGACUUUGGAGUGAUUCUUUGUUUCAUGUUGAGGGAUGGUUAUGUGAUCCAGUUAUGUUAUCAUUGUUGAGAGGACUUACACUAGCGAAAGUAUGAACCCCUAGGCCUUGUUUCAAUGCAUUGCAAUACCAUUUUGUGCUCACUUUUAUUAUUAGUUACCUUGCUGUUUUUGUAUUUUUAGAUUACAAAAACCUUUAUCUACUAUCCAUAUACCACUUGUAUCAUCAUCUCUUCGCUGAACUAGUGAACCUAUACAAUUUACCAUUGUAUUGGGUGUGUUGGGGACACAAGAGACUCUUUGUUACUUGGUUGCAGGGUUGCUUGAGAGAGACCAUCUUCAUCCUACGCCUCCUACGGAUUGAUAAACCUUAGGUCAUUCACUUGAGGGAAAUUUUCUACUGUCCUACAAACCUCUGCACUUGGAGGCCCAACAAGGUCUACAAGAAGAAGGUUGUGUAGUAGACAUCAGAGAUGACACAUACAAAUUUGCUUAGAACGGCAAAAGAAUACCGCGUAUAGCUAGGUAUAGUGGACUCAUAUGGCAAAGCUGGUUUAAAGGAUUUUGGAUGCACAAGUAGUGAUCAUACUUAGUGCAAAAUGAAGGCUAGCAAAAGAUUGAGAAGCGACCAACCAAGAAACGAAAAAUCUCAUAAGCGAGCAUUAAGCAUAACUAACACCGAAUAAUGGACCACAAGUAGGAUGUAAUUUAAUUGAAUAACUAUUGACUUUCGUGCUUGCAUAGGGAAUCACAAACCUUAACACCAAUAUUCUUACUAAAGCAUAAUUACCCAUCAACAUGACUCACAUAUUAUAUCAACAUAUCUCAAAACUAUUACAAGAAAUCAAGUUUAUUUUGUACAAUGAUCUUCAUAAAAGUUUUUAUUAUAUCUUCCUUGGAUAUCUAUCAGUUUGGGACUAGUUUCAUAUGUUUCUUUUGAUAUAUAGCUCAAACAAAUAUAAGUGAAGAACAUGAGCAUACAAAAAUUUCUUCUCUCAAGUUAAUAUAAGUGAAGCAAGAGAGAAUUUCUUCAAAAAAUUACUAACUCUCAAAUAAAUCUAAGUGAAGCAUAAGAGCAUUUAUUCAAAAAUACUAAAGCACACCGUGCUAAAAAAGAUAUAAGUGAAGCACUAGAGCAAUUCCAUAUCUCAUAAAGAUUUAAGUGAAGCAUAGAGAGCAAUUAUAACAAGUCAUGGCAUAAAUUUGACUCUCUCAAAAAGGUGUGUCCAGCAAGGAUUCAUGACUAAAAACACAAAGCAAAGCAAGCAAAGACUCAUAUCAUACAAGACGCUCCAAGCAAUACUCAUAAUAUGCGACGAAUAAAAAUAUAGUUUCAAGUAAAAUACCGAUGGUUGUUAGAAGAAAGAGGGGAUGCCACUCGGGGGCAUCCUCAAGCUUAGUUGCUUGAUACUUCUUGAAUAUUAUCUUGGGAUGACACGGGCAUCCCCAAUCUUAGCUUUUUGCUAAUCCUUAUUCCUUCAUCCAUCGUAAAGUCACCCAAAUUUGAAAACUCCAAUCACACAAAACUUAACAAAACCUUCGUGAGAUCCGUUAGUGUAAGAAAGCAAAUCACUACUAUAAGUAUUGUGCAAACCCAUUCAUAUUUUAUUAUUGCAUUAUAUCUACUGUAUUACAAUUUUUCUAUGGCAAAAACUCUUCAAAGAAAACAAUAGAAUCAUCAAAACAAACACACAACGCAAAGAAAACAGAAUUUGUCAAAAACAGAAUAGUCUGUAGCAAUAUGGAGAAUUCGAGUACUUCUGUAACUCUAAAAAUUCUGAAAAAUUAGGACGACGUGAUAAAUUUGUAUAUUAAUCUUCUGUAAAAAAACUCAGGACUUUAUCGCACAUCUGUAAAUGUAAACAAUUCUGCGACUAGGUGCAAAACUUUGUGUUUUUUAGCAAGAUCAAAUUAACUAUCACCCAACAUAAUCCUAAAGGCUCUACUUGGCACAAACACUAAUUAAAACACAAAAAAUACAAUCAUAACAGUAGCAUAAUUGUGCAAACACUCAAGAACAGAAAGAAGAAGACAAAAAUAAAUUUUAUUCAUUGGGUUGUCUCCCAACAAGCGCUAUUGUUUUAUGCCCCUAGCUAGGCAUAAUGCAAAGGAUCUAAGUAUUGUCAUCUUUGGUAUCCAACUCUUCAAUCAAGCACUUGGAAUUUUUCAAGGAUUAGCAUAAAAAUUUUCAAUGACAAUACUCUUAGGAACAUGUUUAAGGAAUUCAUUCUUGCACAAAGGAUCUCUUAUAACUUCAACAAAAUCCGGGUGAAUACUAAUAAUCUUGAGAUCUUCUUUACUGCUAUUACUAGAAGUUGCACCGUUGUUCUUAGUAACUUGAGUAAUCUUGCCAACUUUUAUGGGAGUUUUUUCAAUGGUUUUAGCGGAAGCAAAAGCCGUACUUAGAUUACUAAAGAUUUCUUCCAGUUUAUCAAUCUGAGAUGGGCUUUCUUCAAUUCUUUCAUGAAUUACGGUACUCUUUUCUUUUAACAACUUAAAAAUUUCUCCCGCUUUUGACCAAAUUUUAGUAGAAAAAUUAUGCAUGUUUUAUCCAAGUUUUCAAUAUGUUCUUUGGUAAGCAUUUUCUUUUCAGUAGCAUCUACUCUUUCCCUAACAUGCUUAAGAGUCAAAGUUGUUUCAUUAACCAUAAGCGGUGGUGAACCCACUAAAUUUCACAUAGCAUUAUAAGCAUCAAGAGAGGGACACAUCAAGAAAUUUCCACCGGUAAUCGUAUCAAGGACGAAUCUAUAUCAAGUGGUGAUGCCCACAUAAAAACAACAAAGAAGAACAACGGUAGAUUGCUUACGGAUAGAUCUAUUAUGAGCAUUGCAAAUCCUAUACCAAGCAUCCUUUAAAUUCUCCCCUCUCCUUUGUUUAAAGUUAAGAACCUCGUUCUAAGGAGUGCAUGCAAUAGCAGAAGAACUAUCCAUAUCGACAAGAAGUAGCGAACAAGAUUGCACUCAAAAACAGAUCUGACGAGAAAACGACGCACAAAAAAGACGGUGAAUAAAACAGGAAAUUUUUGUGAAGUGGGGGUGAGGAAAACGAGAGGCAAAUGGAAAACAAGAUUACCUAGGCAAGCAAACCGGUUCAAAUUCAAAUUCAAAUUCUAGUUAAAUAGUAAAGGUUUUCAAAUAUUAAAACUAAAAUGUCCGGAUUGUGCCAGAUAUUGCAUAGGUAAUUACUAGCAAAAAUGCCCGUGCAUUGCAACGGGAAAAGAAAAAUAUCGCAUGUCCGGCUUCUGUGAUGUCUAAAGACCCCUCUUCUCUCUCACACACAUACAUGCACAUGGAUGUGCCUUCUAUUUUGACAUGACACCCGAACCCAAGUCGGCCGUUCACCACCUGAUCAUCCACACCACCUGAUCAUCCAUGUAUCCUGACAUGGUCGAGACGAGCUCAUCCACGAUACUGCCCGAACCACACCCAUGCAAGGGAAUGUUCAUAUAAAACAUAUAAAAAACUAAUCUCAUCGAGCUACAAGUGAGGACCGCCCAUGGCAAUCUUAAAAUAAACAUUUGGAAUUUCAAAAUUUGUUAAGGUUGCAAAAUUUUGUUUGAAUUUUUGAUAUUUAUUCAUGAUUUUAAAAAUGUAUUCAAAUAUUUGAAGGAAAAUCAUCCACACUUGUUUCCAAGAAUUGUUGAAAAUAUUUAAGAAAAAUAAACAGACCUGUCGCUAAACUACUUUAACUGGGGCGCUGCAAUUUGAGUAGUCGGCAGCUAGCUCAUGUGGUUGGCGUCGCUGCUACCUAGCUUGAGUUCGCGAGAUCGAACCCAUCGCGUGCGGUUUUGUUUUUCGUGCCAUUUUUACGUGCUCGUUUCCUGGUUAUGGGCCGGCCCGAUUACGCGAGCCUGAAAGCUCGACUGUUAGCUUGACUGAAUGUUGCAAGGUCCUGGAUGUACCUAACUGAAUGUGCAAUGGCACUGUACAUGAAGCAGAGUAACAGACAAUGUUGCUGAUGCACUACAUUUGUAGCUCAUAUUCUAGUUUCUCCUGGAACAUGUAUGAAUCAUGGUGGCACUUUGCUUUAAGGUCUUGUGCUAGCUAUGUGGCUGUGAGAGCUGGGUGUAGUUCCUAGCGUCCUCGCCUUGUUUGUUUUGGUUGUUGCACCUACUCUAGCUUCUAAUACAUUCAUAUGCAUCUCUUCUAAUUUCAAUAGUAUUAUACAUAUAAUCCUAUAUUUCAAUUGUACCCAAAUUUUUGUGUGACUGCAGAAACCACAAGAUAAAUAAAAUGCUGACGAAAAGAUGACAGAUGGAAAUCUGUACCUCACCAGUUCAACAUAUACCUCUCCAAAUGGUCAGGCCCAAGUCACAACGAAUAUAUCAGGCUCUAGCAGCCUUCUCCAUCCUCCUCCUCUCUAUGAAUUACCUGUAUGAGCGGGUAGUUAGGAACUUACGAUUAUCAUAAAGAUUUAUUGUCUCAGUGGAAAAACUAUGAUAAACUUUUUCUAGCUUCUUCAGCAAGGCAGGAGAUCUGUCGUAGGAUCUCAUGGGAUAGCUUGGUUUCUUGUGACACAUGAACGCACCUGUUCAUAUAUGUCUCACAGCCUAUAAAGUUACUUAGCAAUGUAAUACAUUUUUUCAAGUAAAAUAACACAGCAGAAGAAAUAGAAAACUUUUAAUCUCUGAAACCUAGCUACCCUUAUCUACCCAGUUGAUCUUAACUUCCAAACUAUAUCAACGAUAUCUUGGAUUUGAGAAAAUAAAAGCAUAUUUGAAGUUAUUAUUGUUGACACUACUACUCAAAUAUCCAAACAAUCGUUUAAUCAGAUUCAGCAGACCUUCAUACAAAUAUGAGUGUAGAAUGAAAACAUUAAACCAACGAAUCUAGGUUCCAUUGUCACCAACAUACACAAAUACAAAUGGAGUUAGUGAAGGCAGAUGUUAACUUUGGCUUGAAAGGGAAGUGAUAUCAUCAUAGACGGGAUCAAUUUUGGUGGAAUGACCUUCAUCUUCAGGGAAAGAAUGGAUAAAUAUAAAGAGAGAGCAUGCAUGAGAUUUAUAGCAGAACAAAACAAAGCAUGACAUAUCCCCGCCCAGCCUCCUUCAUUUCUUCAGCACUUUGUUAUCACAUCCCAGAUCGAUUUGGCUCGGUUCUAGAGGACCUUGUCUUAAUUGAAGAUUAAUUUAAAGCCAACCUGCACCAAGUUUCCUCCAUUGGUGACAUAGUGGGCUAAAACUGGGGGAGGCCAAAGAAGUGCUGCCUUCAUAGGCUUCGCUGAUCAAUCCGCUCUUCUCAAUUAAUCUUGCUAUGAAUACUUAUUAGUACAAGGGAAUUUUUACCCACCCGAACUCUAUUGUUGAACUCAGCAUGGCUAAGGUCCCACAGUCCAGCGUGCGCUAUCACGCCAAUAGGGGGCGGCUCUCCAGCACCAUCAUCCCCGCCAUUCACUAUCCUCAGCUUUGUCAAGAAGAUUGCCUGCAAUGCACGAUUCGAACCAUGUCCAAGAAGUUUGGACAAUGAACAGGUUGUAUGUGAUACUGAACAAGAAUAAUUGUAUGGCAGAAAACAUUGCUGAAUCUUUGAACCUGUCCUUGCAAGGCAAAGUGAAAGAAAUGUAUGAGGUGACCCACCCAAAGAUUACUAAUUAUCGCUAAUUACAAAUGGGCGAACAGAGCAGGUUUCAAACGGUACUGGAUCAUUCUUGCAGGCAGGGGAAUAAGGAUGUUGGGUUGAUGCUAUUCAAGAAGGAAAAGGCGGAGGUCAUCACGAACCUUUAGGAGAUGGGCGUUCUCGUGGGACAAGCUCGCAACCACGCCGCGCUGCUCCUGCGCCCACUGAGGCAGAGGGGGAGGAUGAACACGUCAACGAGCAGAAAGAAAUCAAAAUCGAAGCGGGCCGAAUUGGCGGAAGGAGGCGGGCGGGCGCAGAUCUCAUGGCCCGGUGGAUCACCUUGUCCUGCGCGCUGGCUUUGGCCUCGUCCUCCGUCGCUACUGCCUCGUCGUGCUCGUCGUCCUCGGGGGUGUCCGGGCUGGCGACGCCCUCGCUCCUAUCGUCAUCUGGCGCGGGCUUCUCGGCCGGCGGCGCCACUCGGGCCUUCCUCGACCAGCGCCGGCCCCAAGAUGGGAUCUCCGGCUGCUGCUGCUGCUGCUGGCGGUGGCGGCUGUUGCUGGGGUAACUUGGGGCAGGGGUAGGCACUCCGGCAGCGCGCGGCGAGGGAGGGGCAGCAGCGUGCGGUGACGGGAGGCGGGCUGGCGGCGCGCCGGCGGGGUGGGGACAGAGGUGGCGGCGCGCUGGAGUGGAGAUGGGAUUGACAGGAAGGGUCGUGCUGGUCUGGAUCUAGCCGCUGCGGGAGCGCCAUGGCUUCCCUUCUCAAUCUAGGUGGAAGAGAAGGGAAGGAGGAGGAGGCAAGGGGAGGUCGCCGGUGCGGAGAUGAUGGAGGCCGGAGGCGGACGGGGAGAGCGCGUGCCGGCAAGGGGCGGCGGAUGACGCGGGCUGGCGGCGAGGUGGCGGCGUCGCCAGAUGCAGCCGGGGUCGAGGGGUGGAACAAAGGAGUGCGGACUGAAUUUCAAACAAAAAUAGGGUUUUUUCACAAAAACACGAAGCGUUUUCCAGAUUCACUUAAGAAGGGACUGCGGGUUUAAUUUCCAAAAACUGCAGGGACUUUUUUGCAAAACAACCACGACGGACGGGCAGAAGCACUCCGUGCUUUAUUAGGUAAAAAAAAAUAAUAUAUAUAUAUAUCUCUACUCCUAAUGUCUCAGUUGGUAGGUCGCGUUCCGGGUUUUAUUUUCGUCCCACCAUUUUCGUCCCACCAUUUUCGUCUGAUUUUUUUUCGUUGGUUUUUUUUCGCCGGUUUUUUCGUCCNNNNNNNNNNCCUCUCCAUCCUCCUCCUCAAGACGUCACCAUCGCCUCCGUUCGCCUUCUCCCGCGCCGGCGCCGUCGAGGCCGAGUCGUUCCACUUCCCGCUCUGGCAGGUCUGCGCGGCCGCGUGCGGGGCGUUCGUCUUCUCCCGCGCCGAUGUCGUCGAGGCCGAGGCGUUCGACUUCCCGGCCUGCUAUGGCUGGGUAAUUCUUGUCUUGCUAUAACUCUUCACGUGCAGAGAAGGGAAGAAGAAGGGGAAAGGGGAUAGUCGCCGACACCGCCUAAGCGAAGCGGGUGCUGCUCGCCUGCAACGGCGGCGGCGACGCCGUCUCGCGGGGGGGUCGCCGUUGGCUUCGCCAGGCACGGCUGCAGGUACUCCCUCUCACUUUUCCCCUUCUUCUUCCUGUCGUUGGGUUCUGAAUCUAAGCGCGCGCGCACACACACAGGCUGGUCCUGGUGGGCGACGAGGGCGCCCUGGCCGCGACGGCGGAGGAGGCGCGGCCCAAGGGGCGGCGGCCAUCGUGGUGCUUGGGCUGGACUUGGCGGCCUGCGACGAGGCAGCCGUCGGCGCCGCGGUGGACGCGGCGUGGCGCUGCUUCGGGGACGGCGGGCUCCAUGCCCUUGUCAACUGCUGCUCCUUCGAGGGUAUGCACAUACUAAUGACAGACACUGAUACACAUGCCCAAUUUUCCAUCUGACAGAAUUUUUUCACACAUGCCCAAGCCCGACUAAUCACCAACCUAAAUGAUUGUCAGUUCUUCUCUGAAUAUUUCAGUCAGCUUAUCAUCCAGUAAUUUCGUCCAUGCAUCUGUAUUUGGCUACUGUAUGAGCAGGGGAAGUGCAAGAUUGCCUCAGCGUGACUGAAGAUGAGUACAACAAGACCAUGAAAGUCAAUGUAAUCACACCUUGGCUCCUGAUAAAGGCGAUAGCGAAGCGGUCCCGGGAUGCGCAGUCGGGCGGCUCCGUGGUUUGCUUGACCCAGAUCAUCGGCGCUGAGAAAGGAUUGUAUCCGGGGGCUGCGGCAUACGGCACAAGUUUAGGCGCCGUUCACCAGCUCGUCAGAGUAAGCCUGCUUUCCUGUUACCAAAAAAGCCUGAAUGAUUGCUCACGGAAAUCCUGAAUGCAUACAUGACCAUGAUGUUCUUCGUUUUUUCAGCUGUCGGCGAUGGAGCUCGGCAAGCACAAGAUCAGGGUGAACGCCGUCUGCCGCGGCCUCCACCUGGGGGACAAGUUCCCUCUCUCUGUUGGGGAGGAGAAGGCCGAGAAGGCGACCGGGGAGGUGAUGCCGCUGCGGCGGUGGCUGGACCCGGACAAGGACCUCGCUUCCACGGUGUUGUACCUGGUCGGCGACGACUCCCGCUUCAUGACAGGCACCACCAUCUAUGUCGACGGUGCACAGUCCAUUGUGCGCCCUCGCAUGCGUUCCUUCCUGUAGGUAGGUUAGUCAUGCUGAUCCUGGGGCUGGUUGGCCAUGCUUGGAUUUCACAUUCCAUCAGGAUGACUCCCUGAUAUCUUGUUGUUGUUGUUGUUGAAUAGCAAUAGCGGUUUGUGCAAAGGGAUCAACUGCCAUAAUUAAGCAGUCUCUAUGAAUGCAAUAAUUAACAGGGUUUAAUAUGGUAGAGUAAAGAUCAAAAUUGACAAAGAGUAUCCAGAAUCAACAUGAGUGGCACAGCAGGCCCUUCUUCAGAUUAAAAGACAAACGCAGAACCUUGCUGCACACAGGCAUCAAAGGAGUGAAAUGGAUUGAGUAGUCGACAUGUGAGCUACCAUGUUUCUAUACAUCUGUAAUUAGUUCUUAGUAUUUUUCCUUCAUUUUUGUAGUUAUGCCACCUGAUUACGUUCCUGCCCUGUAACCUGUUGUUUCCCUCUUAAUGAAUGAAAAGCAGCACCUGCUGCAGUUCGUCAAAAAAUAAUCGUACCAUCGUCACGGACGCGGGGCUAAACAGGACUGUGGGUGUCUGUGCUUUUCAGGUGGACCAAGCCGUAUCAAUGGCGUUCGGAGAGAACGGAGCAACCAACUACAUCCGCAUCCAGGUAAAUAAUUUAUCUUGUACUGUAAUUUUCUUCACGGCUGCUGAAUUAUUAUUACCACUGUGAAAUGUGAGUCAACCAAAGCUUACUGUCCCAAUUGUUCCUGUCCUCAGGGUAACGGCAUUACCGCCGGAGCGACGACGGAGGCGGCCAUGGCGGAGCGGGGGGUGGAGUCGGUCCUGUUCCGGGGGAAGAAGCUGAUGCCGCAGACCAACGACGAGCGGCUGGACGGCGUGGUGGAGCAGCUGGUGCGGGAUCCUCCGUGAUUCGGCCAUUGCCAUUCUCCACGGAUCUGGCCGUGGCCACAACCGACGCUGUCGGUUCCAUGGAGGAGCUCACCCCGGCCUUCUCCUCGUUUUCCUCCAUGGUCGGGUCUCCUGGUGGAGGUGCCGAUGCUGCCGGUUCCACAACGCAAGAGCCCGUGGCAACGCGGCAAACUGAAGUUGUUCGCCGGCGUCGCACAGGGCGUCUUUGGCGUCGCAGGAAACCCUACCUUGGGGUUGGCAUAGGGCAUCUCUGGCGUCGUAUGAAACCCCACCGCGGGGCUGGUGCAGGGAGUGGCCGACCAUCCCACCCUGCUGAAGCCGCAGGGCGUCUCUGCCAAGUCCAUGGUUGGCGAGUCCAAGGCCGUCUCUAUCCAGGCCUCCGUGGUUGAGGCGAACUGCACUAACAUCGAUGUCUGCCCUGAACUGUUGUAAGUUUACUGACCGCGUGCUUCUGAUUUCUAAUGUAUUCUUGCUGUUUGCAUUUCUCUCAUUCGUACCCUCGUAUUACAGUGCAUCUAAAAGCUCUUGUGACGAUGGAAAGUCUACCUCCAAGGGACCAAAAAAGAAAAUCGGUCCUAAAAGAUCGUAAGUUGAUCACUAGAUCCAUAUACACGUCUGAUAUCGUGCUGUGUCCAUCUGUUCAUCGUUUCAUGAUCUGGUCCAUGGUUUCUGUAUUUGCAGUUCGCUUGACACAUCUACUCACGAUGACAGUGAAGUAUAUCAAGCUGGUGCUAAAAGAAGGUUUGUGUUUAUCCUCUCUAAUAUAUUUUUACUGUUGUUGUACUUGGUUGGUCGCUAAUGCUUUUUUGAUACAACAUAAGCAGGACUCUUAACCCCUCUAUUCCUCAUAAGGAGAGCUUGGAGUCUGAAGAUUUUUCUGCAAAGUAGGUUUCCCUUUGGCUCUAAUUCAUGAUAUUUGGUAACUUGUUGUUGUUGUAGUUAUAUUGAUAACCUGGUGAUUUCAGAUACCAACAAAAAUUUAUUUGCCUAUAUUACGGUUGCAGAAGUCCUUGUGGAUAUCCUAUACAGUAUAAAUAUGAACCACCACUUGGUGGAUCGCUGCUGUUUAGAGCUCUGCUCUGUUAAUGCUACUUUGAGUCUAGAUGGCAUUAACUACAGAGAAGGGAUCUAGCUAGGUUUGCAAUGGCAUGUGUACUAACGAAUCAUUUUAGUCUCAGGUUUUCCCUGCAAAACUGAAGUUCAUGUCUCAUGUUUGGAUUAAUCACGGUGUAGUCUGAUGGUAAUUUGUCUACUUAGUGCAGUUUAUGUAUUCUUCCACAACUUCAUUUAAUGCUUUCAGAGUUAAAGUUUUGGGGAUAGUUUGGAUGUUAUACCCAAGGCAUUAUAAUUGCUCUAUAUUAUUCUUAAUUUCAUAUAUCAUCACCUUAGACUACUCGAACUGUCGGCCAUGCUUUGUGAUCAUGUGCGACGAGCAUAUUGUUCGGUGCUGCUAUUUUCCAUUCGCUGCUGGGUUGCUUCUACUCUCCACCAAUCUGUCAAGUAGCAAAGAGUAGGUUUGACCUCAAUUUCGAUGNNNNNNNNNNNNNNNNNNNNNNNNNNNNNNNNNNNNNNNNNNNNNNNNNNNNNNNNNNNNNNNNNNNNNNNNNNNNNNNNNNNNNNNNNNNNNNNNNNNNNNNNNNNNNNNNNNNNNNNNNNNNNNNNNNNNNNNNNNNNNNNNNNNNNNNNNNNNNNNNNNNNNNNNNNNNNNNNNNNNNNNNNNNNNNNNNNNNNNNNNNNNNNNNNNNNNNNNNNNNNNNNNNNNNNNNNNNNNNNNNNNNNNNNNNNNNNNNNNNNNNNNNNNNNNNNNNNNNNNNNNNNNNNNNNNNNNNNNNNNNNNNNNNNNNNNNNNNNNNNNNNNNNNNNNNNNNNNNNNNNNNNNNNNNNNNNNNNNNNNNNNNNNNNNNNNNNNNNNNNNNNNNNNNNNNNNNNNNNNNNNNNNNNNNNNNNNNNNNNNNNNNNNNNNNNNNNNNNNNNNNNNNNNNNNNNNNNNNNNNNNNNNNNNNNNNNNNNNNNNNNNNNNNNNNNNNNNNNNNNNNNNNNNNNNNNNNNNNNNNNNNNNNNNNNNNNNNNNNNNNNNNNNNNNNNNNNNNNNNNNNNNNNNNNNNNNNNNNNNNNNNNNNNNNNNNNNNNNNNNNNNNNNNNNNNNNNNNNNNNNNNNNNNNNNNNNNNNNNNNNNNNNNNNNNNNNNNNNNNNNNNNNNNNNNNNNNNNNNNNNNNNNNNNNNNNNNNNNNNNNNNNNNNNNNNNNNNNNNNNNNNNNNNNNNNNNNNNNNNNNNNNNNNNNNNNNNUGGUUGCCUCAAAGUAAUGCCCUGCUACUCCUUGGGGGGCGUGAGUGAAGAUUUAUGCCUUAAGCAUAGGAAUGAGGGAGUAGGUAUCCAACAGAAUAGGCGAUGAUGCUAGGAGAAAAAGAAGACUUUGAUCUGGUUCUUCAAAGAGGUACAUCAAGGAACAAGUACAUGGUGCUACUCGAUGGUCAGCCAGAUUCUGACUAUUAUUUUGGGAUGCCAAAGAGAUAGCACAUGAUGUUCGACCGCUGGGGAAUUGAAGUAUAGUGCUUACCAAUAUACUGGCAUGUAUUUUUUUCUAAAGGAUAUAGUGGUUUCCUUUAGUUGAAAUACAUAAAAUUUUCACCCCCAAUGAUUCAACAAGAGUUGUUCAUUAAAAGUGUGUGGUCUCUUUCUUCAUCAAGAAUUGAAAUAUCUGUGCUAUUAUAACUCCAUGGAGAGCAAUAAUAUAAUUUUCACAAGGGGUGACCUUUAUUGGCUAAUUGUAUAGUUUAUGAUCUUAUGGAGUUUAGGUUUGUAAAUCCAUGUAUUUUUUAGAUGAAGAAACAAAGGAGAUGACUAUAUCAAGGAUCACAUAUGGUUAAAUGUAGAAACAAUGAACACGGUGGCAUAUCAGUUGCAACAUGGUGAAAAUUUUAGGAUAGAAGGAUAAACGAAUUGCCCGGCCUGUUCAAGAGUUAAUAAAAAAAUGAACAGAGUGGCACAAGAAUACUUUGCGGUAAUGCAUGCUAUUCGAUUGUAUGUUACAACGUGGCAAUGACUCAGGAUAUAUCGGAUCUGCCUUUAUGACAGUGGUGGAUCAGCACGAACACAAGGGGUGGGGAUCAGGGCAGAGAGUAGGCGGUUGGCUGGGGACUCCUUGGUGGUCCGUGGGGGAUAUACAAUUGAAGGUGGGAGGGCGCCAUGGCGAGGUGAGGUGGGCAUCAUCUGAUUUUAAAGAAGAGGGCUCUAGCGAGAAAUGUCCCGCUACAGCAGGAAACCGAGCGGGAAGGGAUGGGUUCAACAGAAAAAGGGAAUGGUGCGUCGUGGGUUGAGUUUUUUGUGUUAGGACCGUGUAUUGGAGAUAAAAUGACGGAUAGUCCGGAGAAGCACAUUUCUCCUCCACAGAUGGUCUGGAUUUGAAGAAGUACAUAUUGUCCAGAUGGUUGAAUAUUGGGGUGCAUGCAGGGUGCCUGUUUGAUGUUCGAACAUGCCCAAAUAGACGAGGAAGAAAUGAACUUCGACCUUUGAGACGGCCUUAAUCAUCUGUUCGAUUCAUUUAUAUAAAUCGCAUUAUAUGUAUGCAUUGUCAAAUUGCCUUUUAUUAACAGUUUACAAUGUAAGUGAAGUGGACUUAAAUUAUUACUUGAUUAUACCUGUGCUAUCUUUUUUUAUAUGCAUUAUGUUUACAUAAUUCCAGCAAAAUAUUUCAAGAGUCCGUGGCAACGCACGGGCAUUAUACUAGUAGGUAUAGGUAUAGGUAUAGGUAUAGGUAAUAGGUAAUUAUGGUGGAGAAACCAAACUUUGAUAAAAUGUUUAAAGGCUCCGAAAUAAUUAAAACAUUAGUUAAAACAAUUAAAUAAAUGCUUUUUGGAAUUAAUAAAAUAUUAAACUAAAUUAUUUAGUUGCCCAAACUUAUGUGGCAGUAGCAUAAUUUUUAACACUAAAUUAGGGACAACUUUUAUAAUUUAUAAAACUAAAAUAAAAGGAAACUAAAAAUAAAACAGAAAAGAAAAAUAAACAAAAAAUAAAAC